This 531-nucleotide unclassified non-coding RNA is filed under the name Daphnia pulicaria. RNAcentral's name for it is "uncharacterized LOC124312653, transcript variant X1". Lineage: Eukaryota; Metazoa; Arthropoda; Branchiopoda; Diplostraca; Daphniidae. The record is from RNAcentral.
UUGUUUUUUUCUAACUCCCAGAUUGUGAAUUCCAGUUAUGUGCUUCUUAUUAAUUGCUGAAUGGAAAACUGCUUGAUGGCAGUAGGCCUAUUGUUUAAAGCAACAAAAGAAAACAAAGGAGAAAGAUAGAGAACCGGAAUGUGUGUAUCAAUUGUUAAAUGUGGCUGAAAUGUCAAGUCUUCGACACAGUGUGAGGGACUCUACUCCCAAUCAAGGAAAUCACAAUUGUUACUUGCAGACAUCAUGUUAGUGAAAGUCAACCUAACAUGCCAGACCAAGAAAGAUACUUCAUAAUUUCAGAAAAAGUGCCCAUUAACAAAGAUAAGAUCGUGUUUUCUGUCCAAGCUCAAGACGGAGACGUUUCAGUGAACGCAAUCGAUUACUCGUUAGUCGAUCCUAGAGGCAGUUUCUCGAUUAAUCCAACGACCAGUGAAGUGAAAAUAGCCAAACUGAUUGACCGCGACGUCGAAGACUUUGUCUCCUACUUUGAUCUAAGCAUUACAGCAACCUGCUUGAAUUACCUGACAUUAG